AGCUGAUGAUGGGUCGGUAUCGCGAGAGGCGCUUGAUGGCGCUGGACUGGUGGGGGCUGGAUGCGCACAUGCACGGCUCGCCCUCUCUGAGCCGUUGGAUCACACGUAAGGACACGCGACCGGACCAAGGCGGACCGGAGAGAGGAAGAACUCGCACGGUCCGGGCUUUGCUGCUGUAGCGACCAGACGGGACUCAAUGUGACCUCAGCGGACUGAGAAGAUUAGUGAAACCGAAGAAGAAAAGCACCAAAGUCCCCACAUGGGAGUAGAGACGUUGUCCAAACCACUGAUUUCUGACAGAUUGUGCCAAAGGAUGCUUUGGAACCGCUCUUAUGUUUUCAGACACAGACUUCUAAAUCUUUACAGCUAGAAAGAGGAGGACAAAAAGCCAAACAUUGCCUUGUACAAGUGGACCAGUCACAAUCCGAGAGUUAGAGGGUUGCAUGGGGGCCAAAUUCCUGCACAAGACCAACUGCAUCACCUCAGUCUACAGCCACCACCUCCCUUCUCCUGCUGUGAUAUUUUACUGAUCCUCCUUUCAUUCAUUCUACCCCUUUCUUGCUCAUGGGAGUGACAUAGAGGCUGAAGUUUGGUCUUCUGCCCCACCCCUUUUCUGCAUCGCUGUGGAAACAGGGAUGUCCAGGUAGAGAUGUCGUGGAAGAGGAACUACUUUGCAUCAGGUGGUGGAGCGGCUGGCGGGUUGCAAGGUCUGGUGACCCCGAGAACCAUGACCUCCAUUGCACCCAGCAAAGGCCUGAGCAAUGAGCCGGGACAAAAUAGCUGCUUCCUCAACAGCGCUCUGCAGGUGUUGUGGCAUCUCGACAUCUUCCGCAGAAGCUUUCGACAGCUUACCAGUCACAAGUGCAUGGAGGACUCAUGCAUCUUCUGCGCUCUGAAGAGUAUCUUUGCCCAGUUCCAGUUCAGCAGUGAGCGCGUUCUGCCAUCUGAUGCACUGCGGAGCGCUCUGGCCAAGACUUUCCAAGACGAGCAACGCUUUCAGCUGGGAAUCAUGGACGACGCUGCUGAGUGCUUUGAGAAUCUCCUGAUGCGGAUCCACUUCCACAUCAGCGCGGAGAGCAGAGAGGACAUCUGCACAGCCAAACACUGCAUACCACACCAGAAGUUUGCCAUGACUCUGUUUGAACAGUGUGUGUGUAACAGCUGUGGAGCCACAUCAGACCCCCUGCCCUUCAUUCAGAUGGUUCAUUACAUCUCCACCACGUCCCUCUGUAACCAGGCAGUGAGGAUGCUGGAGUGCAGAGAGAAACCCACACCGGACAUGUUUGGGGAGCUGCUUCGCAACGCCAGCAACAUGGGAGACCUCCGCAACUGUCCUAGUAACUGUGGGGAAGUGUUGCGUAUCCGCCGGGUGCUGAUGAACUCACCCGAAAUCGUGUCCAUUGGGCUGGUGUGGGAUUCAGACCACUCUGACCUCGCAGAGGACGUCAUACACAGCCUGGGAACCUGCCUGCGUCUGGGAGAUUUGUUCUACCGUGUGACAGACGAGAGGGCUCGCCAGGCGGAGCUCUACUUGGUGGGAAUGGUGUGCUACUACGGCAAGCACUACUCCACCUUCUUCUUCCAGACCAAGAUACGCAAGUGGAUGUACUUUGACGACGCCCACGUCAAAGAGAUUGGCCCGAAGUGGAAGGACGUAGUGUCUCGCUGUAUCAAAGGCCACUAUCAACCCCUGCUGCUGCUCUACGCUGACCCCAGAGGGACGCCGGUGAUACUGCAGGAGAGCCCCAACCCUUGUACCAGCUCCAACCCGCAGCUGGAGCUCCAGCACUGCAGCAGCAAAGCUGGUUACGACAGCGAGGACUCGGGUCGGGAGCCAUCCAUAUCCAGCGAUACCCGUACCGACUCCUCAACGGACAGCUCCAGCCAUCGCACCACUCGCAGCAGACCCCUGCACCAGUCUACGGGCAGCCACCUCUCCAGUGAAUCCCAGACCACAGUGGUCUACAACUACGACCCCAGCACGCCGCCGCUCGGUGCUGACGCUGGAGAGUCAGCAGUGGAGGGUACACCCCACCAUCCCUCUCCUCCUCGGCAGGAGUACAAAGAGACAGCAGUCUUCCUACUUUCUUCACGCAGGCCCCUCACCUCCUCUUCCUCUCGCCCCUUGUCCUCCUCAUCUUCAUCAGGAGUUGGGGGCUGUGAGGGUGGGGCUGGGGGGCCCCACUGGGAGGAUGAAAGCACAAGCAGUGAGAGCAAGUCCAGUUCCUCUGGAGGCUGUUACCGGCCAACCUGGAGGCCCAGGCGAGAGGCCCUGAACAUCGACAGCAUCUUUACCCAACAAAGAGAUUCAUCUUUAGGCUACAGCUCUGCGCCUGACCCCCCUCUCCCUCUGGUGACUCAGGAGGGCCUCCCCUUAGCAGGAUUCAUUUUACAGCCAAGAACUGAGGAAACUGAAAGAAGGGAGGUCAGGGAGGUGGGCUUUGGACUGGUAGGACAGCCCAGGUCUUUGGCAGGUGGACGGACGAUGGGUCCCCCUGCUCCUCCACCUCUGAGAGGGGUGGAGCACCAGCCACGUCUGAUCCAGAGGAUGGAGAGUGGAUACGAAAGUAGUGAGAGGAACAGUAGCAGCCCUGACAGGGAGGUGGGGCAACAGAAGCGGAUGCUCAUGGCGGGACCUUCAUGGCGUUCGGUGCCGAAGUCAAAGAGCAGCGGCGCUAUCAUGCAGGAGGUGCCUCCACCCAGCUGGGCCCGGGGUGCACACACAGGCUUAAGGCGCAGUGAGCUGGAUGAGCUGCAGGAGGAGGUGGCAAGGAGAGCCCGCCAGCAGGAGCAGCAGAAACGGAAGGAGGUGGAGCAAGAGGCAGCCCUGGGAUUCAACCCCAAACCCAGCAAAUUCAUGGACCUGGACCUGCUCCAGCACCAGGCUGUGCUCAGACCCCUGCAUGAGGCUAACGCUCAUAGCGGAUUGGCUGUAGCUGCGUGCAUGAGGAGCACUGGGGGCCCAAUCAAACGCAGACAGGAACAGGAAACGGAACAGGACACAGGAAACGCCCAUCCACAGGGGCCAUGCAGUGAACAGCCUGGCUCGGUCCAAGUAUUACUGAUGCCCAAUCAGGAGGAGGGAGAGGACCAGGCAAAGCCCAGUCAGGACGCUGCUCAGGGCCAGGACCCACCCCCUCCGUCCUACCGCCCCCCUCGACCCAUGCUUACCCUCAGCACCUCUCACCCUUGCACUCCUUCUGGUCAAGGAGAGGAGGAGGGCAGGCACACGGCGAGGAGAGGGGAGGAAGGUGAGGGUGGGCAGGACGGAAUGGGGGUGAGGCUGUGUGAGUUGCUGCAGGCAGGAGGGGUGAGCGUCAGACCAUUGGGGAAGCACUUAGCCAUCUCCCUACCUUCGCUUCCUCUGCGUCUCUGGGAUACACACAUCACACACACCUCAAACUCCACACACACCCCGCCUCCCCCGUCUCCCCCUCUGGACACCUUUGGGCAAAGGAAACCUCCUGCUCCACUCUGGCAGCCCCCACAGCCUCACACACCCGAUGACGAGGUUCAGCAUUGGCAGCAGCAUGGAGCAGCCACAGAGAGCGGCACACGCCACUGGUCCUCCUGGAGCCUGGACCGCCCUGACGCCGUGGUGACACCAUACAACACCCCCCCAGACUGCUGCAUCCCCAUCAGACCGCUGAUGCCCGGUCAAAACUACAGCCAUAGCUGCCAGUCUUCUCCAGGGCACUACACCUCCCAGCAUGCCUUAGGGCGGCACGGUGACCCCUGCUGUGACCGAGAAGAGGCUGAGCUGUCUGAACUCGACACCCUAUUUCAGGCCAGUCUGCUGGCUGGAAGAGCAGGUUGUAGCCCAUCUGAGAGGCUGAUAUCUCGGAUGGGAGGGCAGGCACGCUCCAAGACCCCCAACGCAGACAUGGAGAGGAGUGUGUACGGAGCGGACGGCACCAACACCCCCUCCUACGUCAACAAGCCAAUGAUGUUGCGGGAUCCGUGUUUGGAGGUGGGGCCUGAUGAUGGGGAAAAUCUGCGGCGAAUCGGACGCAGCCUGAGUGGCACAGUAGUGACCUCCCGCCGCAGCCGCCUGACUGCAACCCGCAGCUUCGUGAAGCAGUCUGAUGUCAGUGCCUCUCCUUGCUUACUUCCUCUCUUCUGAGUCCCUGUUGCUAUUCCAUCACUUCCUUUCAUCCUCAUCACCAACACCUUCCUCAUCACCACUUCCCUUCACUGCUUCACAGGAACUGUCGGGCAGUGCAGGAAGUGCAGGAAGUUUCUGGCUGUGUCUCACGGGGGUCAAAGUGUCCUCGGACCGGAGUCCUGCUCUGUUUCAAUGAAGUCCCCCCAGUACAAGGCAGCAGUGCUUUGGUCUGUGACAGCGUCGCCUUGACGAACCUCAAAUUGGCUCGAACAGGCCGAGUCCUGUUCCUAAACCUCCUCCUUCAAAUAACAAACACAUGCACGCACAUCUGCACUGAUGACUAGCCUCCCUCAGCUUUGCCCCUCCUUGCCUUUCUGCCCCUCCCCUUUGACCUUCGAUUCUGUCUAUGCAGUCACUCUGACCCCUUAAUACAACCUCAGCCCCCACCCCCCACCCCACCCAUAAACUGUUGUUUCUUGUCCCCCUUUGCCGGGGUUUCCCUGUUUAGUCUAUCUGGUCUGAUGGGGACGAGAGCUCUCAGCUAAACUUGUCCCUCCAAGCCUGAGGGAAGACUCUUAAACAAGUAGCCACGCCUCUUCCUAUUUCUUCGUGGGCAUUUCCUGUUGGACGCACAUGUAGCUGAACUGAACCUGUUUCAGAUGGACAGCCAUAUUUUUCUCUCUUCUUUGCUUUUGGGAUUUUGUUGUGUUUUUUCUGCUGUGUGUCGGUGCACAGUGAACCCAUGAGACUGAACUCUAUUAACUACAAAUCAAAUAGUUGUAUACAGAAAAAAAAACUAAUGUAUGAAACCUGUAUGUUAAUUAAGACCUAAUGGAAUGUUGAUAAUUAACAAAUACUGACAAACUAAAGGUGGUACUUCCUCAUGUCUGCAUUUCAAAUAGGAGUGGAGUGCACUUCACAAGUGUCUAGUUGGAGUUUCCACCCCCAAAUCAGACCUAAUGUCAGUUCUCCCGUUUCUACUGGGAGAUUUAACAAGAAAAGCGCUUCCUGGUUUUUUGUUUCCUGCGCCUUUCCCUCUAGUCUUUUCUUUCUCUCGGCCCUUGUCGCUAUGUUUGAUUCUCGCUUGCUUUCUCCGUUUGAAGCGGGAAAAGGUAGCACCAGAAACAGGCCAGCAGGGAAGGAAAGUGAAGAUGGAAUGAGAGAAUGUAGGUGAGGAAACCCGCCUCUUAGGCUUUUAUCAAUGAAAGCAGAUGACUCAAGUGCACUUUGCAGGAAGAAGUGCACUUUCCGAGGGCUAUCUGACUGAGAAGAAGGUGGAAAGAAGUAGACGGUGUUUGCUUUACUUCAAGGCCUCAGGUGAACUUCAGUGGCACUUAAAAUGAUCUCUUUCUUUAUUUAUUCAUUCCACUGAAGCAGGUUUUGAGACCGAGGGUAACAAAAAAAGGUACAUCUUUAGCCUGAAACUGUAACAUGUCUAAUAUAAACAUGCUUUAUAUGAUAAAUGUGUAUUAGAGGUAUAUUUUCAGCCAGUGAGCUAUCCUCAGAGAUGUCGAACAUUUGUCAGCAGUCCUUCCCCUCACGAGUACGUAGCACCCUGACAGGUGGAGAUUACAUUAAUUGUAUGCUUUAUUCUAUAGAAAUGAUCAAAACCCUUAUGAAACAAAUGGCCAGUGUAAAGUUUUGCAAGAAUUUACAGAUGUUGGUCGAUCGUUGUAACUAAACCAAAGGUUGGCACUUAACUUGUUAUUUUUAUUGUUCAUUUAGGUUUGUAGCUUGUUGUUGAUUGUUUUUAGUUUUAUUUUUUUGGGUUGUGGAUGUGGGAGAAUGUAGCCAAUUGUAGCGCAUGAGUCCGCUAUGCAAAUCAACCUUCCCUCACAGUCCUGUAUCAGAGACGGUCAGGAAGCAGACACACCCACCGGCAGGCGCUCUUAUGGACGAAGAGGAGGAGACCUCGUGCAUAUUAUUGCUGCUGGUGCCCUUCGAAACCAUCUGGUGGAAAAACAAAGUGAAUGAAUGUAAUUUCAAAUGUGUACGUUUGCGAAUGACGGUCAGAGACAGAAAGGGGUAGAAAGCUGCUGAAGAUGGCUUAUUGUGUGUGGGUGUGUGAUGAGCGAGUGUUUGUCAGUUCGGGGGGUCAUGUUGCUCGGGGAAAGAGGGAACCUGUAUUUUUGCAAUAAAGUUAUUAUUAAUGCACUCCCAACGGGGGCGUAACCACCAUAA
Molecule: RNA transcript, 6286 nt
Organism: Nothobranchius furzeri (turquoise killifish)
Lineage: Eukaryota; Metazoa; Chordata; Actinopteri; Cyprinodontiformes; Nothobranchiidae
Gene: usp54b
Gene name: ubiquitin specific peptidase 54b
Source: RefSeq, a predicted model, not a curated record